UGUAAAGAUAAAAUUUUUUUUUUUGCUGC
Molecule: ribosomal RNA, 29 nt
Filed under: Amanita muscaria (fly agaric)
Lineage: Eukaryota; Fungi; Basidiomycota; Agaricomycetes; Agaricales; Amanitaceae
Description: partial 18S ribosomal RNA
Source: RNAcentral